Molecule: ribosomal RNA, 491 nt
Filed under: uncultured bacterium
Lineage: Bacteria
Description: bacterial SSU rRNA
Rfam family: Bacterial small subunit ribosomal RNA
Source: RNAcentral
AAAGGAAUAGACGGGAGCCCGCACAAGCAGUGGAGUAUGUGGUUUAAUUCGACGCAACGCGAAGGACCUUACCGGAGCUUGACAUCCUCAGAAUGACCUUGUAAAGAGGUCAGUGCCCUUCGGGGAACUGAGAGACAGGUGGUGCAUGGUUGUCGUCAGCUCGUGUCGUGAGAUGUUGGGUUAAGUCCCGCAACGAGCGCAACCCUUACGGUUAGUUGCUACGAAAGAGCACUCUAGCCGGACUGCCGUUGACAAAACGGAGGAAGGUGGGGACGACGUCAAAUCAUCAUGCCCCUUACGCUCCGGGCCACACACGUACUACAAUGGCGCAAACAAAGGGAAGCGAAACCGCGAGGUGGAGCAAACCCCAUAAAAGGCGUCCCAGUUCGGACUGCAGGCUGCAACUCGCCUGCACGAAGUUGGAAUUGCUAGUAAUCGCGGAUCAGCAUGCCGCGGUGAAUACGUUCCCGGGCUUUGUACACACCGCCCGU